ACGACGCCAUUUUUUUGUUGUAGUAAAUAGACGGCUUGUACGCCAGUUCUAGAUCUAGCUUGAAUCUGAAUUACAUUUAUUUCAAUAAUAUUUAGAUAAUGUGAUGUGCAUGUACAGUCGAAAAGUGAAUUUAGGUAGCUGAAAAUCAAAUAAUCAAAUCCAAUGUCUAAACUUUUGUCAAGUUUACUAACAAAGAUGUUUUUUGUGAACGGUCAUUUACUUAGCUGUUUUUAAAAUUAGGUCUUCUGAGGGUGUUGGCCUCUCUCUUCAUCAGGUUAGAAACAAAGCUGGGGGUCUCUUUUCAAAUUACACAAUAAAAUAAGGACUCAAUAUUCAAGAUGGCCGCCGAUCAUUUUUGCCUACGAUGGAACAACUAUCAGAGCAACAUGGUGACGGAACUGGAUACUCUGAGGAGUGAGGAGCAUCUAGUGGAUGUCACUCUAUCCUGUGAAGGACAGAAGUUCAGAGCCCACAAAGUUAUUCUGUCUGCUUGCAGCGUCUACUUCAGGAAUGUGUUCAAAGAAAACCCUUGCGAGCAUCCAGUCGUGAUACUUAAGGACGUCUCACACGAGGACGUGGAGGCGCUACUGAGUUUUGUCUACCAGGGCGUCGUUUAUGUCUCGGAGAAGAAGUUGGCCUCUUUCCUUCAAACUGCCGAGCUGUUGCAGAUCAAAGGGCUAACGGGAGCCGCGUCCAGUAUCAAAGAGAACCAUAACACCGACAAAGGCGGCCCCCCACCGCUGAAUCCAACAUGGCCGUCGAACAAAUCGUCCGCAAAGUCGUCGUGUUCGCCGACACCGCCCAAGCGGAAGAAGGGCACGCCGGUGCGCAUCUGCAAGACCAGUGACGGUGGAGGAGGAGGGGACACAUCGGACACUAACAGCAACAAUGCAGUGGGUGAGGAGGAGGGGGAGAUAGCUGUCAAACAGGAGCGCAUGGAGGAAGGCGAGACGCUUAGCGUACAGGUAUCCUUAGGCGCAGACGACGACACAUCACACGAUGGAAGCAGUAUGAUGAUGGCGAUGUACCACGAUGUGGGUGGAGGGGGUGACUCGAACUCGGCCAGCGUGGGAGGAGGGGAGGGCGAGGAGGAUUGUGGUGGGGAGGAGGAGGAAGAUGACGGGGAGGUGAAAGGCGCGGGAGGGGAAAUGAGUGAUACGACGGCAACACUGCUGGAGCGCUCUCUGUCGGGGGCCAGUGUGUCUAGGCAACAGUUCGAUAUGCAAGGACCCUUCUCAGCCUUCCCGAUACCAGCCCCUGGCCAAGGACUUCCCGACCAACUUACACCCUCUGGAGGUGCCUCAUCACAAUCAUCUUCUACGUCAUCGUCUUCUCACCUGGCUCAGUGCGGCAACUGUCCCCACUGUGGCAAGCCCUAUACCAACCAAUCGGCGCUCAAGUACCAUGUGCGCCUCAUGCACUCGGACCUCACCAACCGCCAGUGCUGCUAUCUGUGUCCGCUCUCGUUCGCGCAGCGCGAACACUACAAGUCGCACAUGCUCGAAAAGCACAAUGUGCGCUGCUAAGCUCCUGGUGUAGACUUCCCUUAAUGGCCGGUGUAGACUCCCCUUAAAGGCCGGUGUAGACUCCCCUUGAUGGCCGGUGUAGACUCCCCUUGAUGGCCGGUGUAGACUUGCCUUAAAGGCCUGUGUAGAAUCCCCUUGAUGGCCGGUGUUGACUUGCCUUUAAGGCCGGUGUAGAAUCCACUUGAAGGUCGACAUAAUUUUUUGUUUGAAUUCAAAAGUCUCGCUGUAAAGCCUUGUUGGCUCGCGUAGACUACUCUUAAUUAUUGGUGUAGACUCUUCUUAAAGGCCGGUGUACACUCCCCUUGAAGUAAGUCAAAAGUGAGAACUCGCAAACUCUUUUAAGGCCGGGACCCCUUGAAAGUCAACGUAAAUUCCCCUGGAUGCCCAGUUUAGACUCUCCUUAAUUAUUUGUGUAUAUACUUCCCUU
Molecule: unclassified non-coding RNA, 1953 nt
Filed under: Nilaparvata lugens (brown planthopper)
Lineage: Eukaryota; Metazoa; Arthropoda; Insecta; Hemiptera; Delphacidae
Description: protein tramtrack, beta isoform, transcript variant X5
Source: RNAcentral